This is a long non-coding RNA of Homo sapiens (human), 4126 nucleotides long. RefSeq lists it as uncharacterized. NCBI's taxonomy places the organism in Eukaryota, Metazoa, Chordata, Mammalia, Primates, Hominidae. The transcript has 3 exons. The record is from RefSeq and is a predicted model, not a curated record.
CUGGGAGUUAAAAAAAAUUCUGCCGUAGCCUACCGCCUCAUGACUUUGAGUCUGUCUGUAUUACACCAAGACAACAUAGAAGUUAUGAGCCUUGUGAAGGAGGUGCCUGCUUCGCCUUCCUCCAUGAUUGUAAAUUUCCUGAGGCCUCAUCAGCCAUGUGGAACUACUACAGAAUCCUGGCGAGGAACCUAUUCCUAUAUUUACCUCCAUCUCUCUGGUACCUGGCCUAAGUCUACACAGUAGGUAUGUAAACAUUGUUGAACAAAUAUAUGCUGUUCUUAUCACAAGUGUUGGUAGUAGGAUUACCAGUGUCUAUGUUUUACGUAAGAGAAAGCAGCUUCCAAAAAAGGUUGGGAUCUGUUCAGGCCUCAGCUUCGAAGUGCAGGCCUUCUAAUAAUAGAGACUGAAUUUUUCCACUUAUGUCUGGCUACAUGCAACAGACGCAGCUUUGAAUUUGGAGCUUCUGUGUUCCUUCUUGCUAGAUCCAGGAAUGGAAGUGGGUUAGGUGCCUGUUUGCUGGCCUUGUGAUUAACACAGCAUCACUUGACCUCUAGGACAUUCUUGUUGAUUUCUGUGGGCCAUUCCCAUUGGCAGCUGGGGUGGGAGGCAGGGGCAGGUGUCUAAAUAGAAUAAGGCUACUCUAACUACCUUAGAGUUUUACAGAGCCUCAAAUAAGAGAAUGGGUGUGAAAACUUUUUUUUUUUAAUUUGUAAGAACACUAUACCAAAAGGCAUACUGUUAAUAAUGAUUGCUGGGCACAGUGGUUCACCCUUGUAAUUCCAGCAUAUUGGGUGGCCAAGGCAGGAGGAUGGUUGAGCCCAGGAGUUCAAGACCAGCCUGGGCAACACGGCAAAACUCUCUCUACAAAAAAUAACAAAAAUUAGCCAGGCAUGCUGUCAUGCACCUGUAGUUCCAGCUACUCAGGAGACUGUGGUGGGAGGAUCACCUGAGCCUGGUGAGAUCGAGACUGCAAUGAGCCAUAAUUGCACCCCUGUACUCCAGCCUAGGUGACAGAGUGAAACCUUGUCUCAAAAUUAAUAGUAAAAAUGAUGAUAAAUAAAUUAUUAGGUUCAUUUACCGUUAGGCUCUUGUAUUCACUUUUCAUAGUGUGAAUAAGUUUGUGCUGUCAAAUCUUGCUCACACUGGCCUAGGCAAUUCUCUGACUUCCUGGAUUCCUCUAGAAUUUACUUUGUAUUUUCACAUGUUUUGUAGUGGUUUGCUCCAGUGGAUGUCUACUUCUGGACUUUUUCAUUUUAGGACUUCCUGGUUUUAGAGUACUGCCUUGUGUGCCUGCCACUUUCAGGUUUUGGAGGAGAGUACAUAUUAGGCAAUUUUUCCCUUUUAUUUAACCUUUUCUACCACAAUUGAGCAACUUAAGAAACUGUUCUCUGAUAUUUCUCAGUCUUAACAGUGACACAAGUUCUAUGGGGCAAUAUUAUUCUAUUUUAAAAUGUCUUUAUCUUACUCAAUUCACUUGGCUUGCUGUUUGCCUGAUUGGCUAGACAUUGGAAACUGUGGAAGACAUUUUCACAAUGGUUUGACAUUUCAAACUCCAUGCAAAUGUUGAAAACUAGGAAACUUCCAGAAACCCUAAUGUCAGACCAAAAUUUAAUUUAAAAUGUUUAAUACAUGAGCUAUUCAAAUGUUUCCAGAUUUAUCCUGAAAUCUGCUCCAGGAGUUCUGUACAUCUCAUGUUGCAGGUAAGAAAUGGAAGCCGGACACACAGUGGGUUGUUUAGGGUCAUGAACUCUGGUGGGAGGAGAAUCUCAGACGCCUGGCUGAGUUUCCCUAAGUCGCACCACCUGCCUUGCAGUGGUCUGGGCACCUGUUGCUGCAGAGAGUUGCCAACCCCAUAUCCUGUGAGUCUCCGUCCUUGAGCACCAAGUAUCUAAUCACUCUUUCUCUCUCAGGGCUGCGGUGCUGUGAAGAUUUCGGCAUCCUGCACUCAUGGCCAUGUUUAGUCUAUGGUCACAUUGACACUAGAGAGUUUCAGGGACCAGUGCAGUAUGCCCAGGUCUGACAUGGGCUUCCAAAAUGUAUGUGAACAGAGUAAGAAUGAUACUUUUUUGCUUUUCAAAAUAUUUCACAGCUUAGGUGGCACUUACCCUUAUCCCUUCUUUUCUGUCUUUACUGAUAAAUACUCAUCACCUUAGAUUAUUUUAACAUCUAACAACUUUCAGUUGCAAUUAGAAAAUAUCUUUAGACAUGUUAAUUAUAAAAAUAUUCUUCAUUUAUGAAAUUGAUUACGCCUAGUGACUUCAUUCACCAAUUGUCUCAAAAUCUUGCCUUUAAACUACCCUCAGGAGGAAUCUCCAUGUUCACAAAAGAAAAGAGGGCAAAGGCCAGGCACAGUGGCUCACACCUAUAAUCCCAGCACUUUGAGAGGCUGAGGUGGGAGGAUUGCUUGAACCUAGGAGUUCCAGACCAGCGUGGGCAACAUGAUGAAACCCCGUCUCUACUAAAAAUACAAAAAAAUUAGCUGGGCGUGGAGGUGCCCCUGUGGUCCCAGUUACUUGGGAGGAUGUAGUGGAAGGAUUAUCUGAGCUUAGGGGGUUGAGGCUGCAGUGAGUCACUGCACUCCAGCCUGGACAACAGACCCAGACUCUGUCUCAAAGAAAAGAAGAGAAAAGAAGGAAAGGGAGGAGGGAGGAGGGAAGAGGGAGAAGGGAGAAGGGAGAAAGGAGAAGGGAAGGGAAGGGAAAGGAAGGGAAGGGAAAGUGGGCACAGAAGGAAAGCCGAGUGGAAGGGAAAGUGGGCACAGAAGGAAAGCCGAGUGGGAAUAGAAGCAAAGCCAGAGGUGUCCCUCUUAUCUCUCAGAGUGUUCUAUAUUUAUAAAUCCAUUGAGUCCAUUUUCCCUAUGCCUUUAGAGAAAUCACUGAGUCUCUGGGGGCAGGGUGGGGACUUGGGUAAAUUCAGUUAAAGGUGAUUUUAGAAAUACUCUGUUCUCUGACGUAAGCCACCCUUGCUCUGGUGGGCACCUGGUUCACCUCUGAGCAGCAGUGACCAUCUGAAAUGCUCCUUUAUGCUGAAUCCAAAUCUCAGUUCCCCUCAUGUUAUUUAUUGAAGAAAAUAAUCCCUGUGCCUGAAACAGGUACUAUGAAAGAUAUUACCUUUCUAUUUAUAGAAAUUAUAAUUAUAGAAAUUAUAAUCUAUUUAUAGAGAUUAUAAUUAUAGAGAUAAAGAAAAUGUCUCUUUGCUUUCCAGUUAAUCUGAGUGUAGCCACGUUGGAAACCAUGCCUUAAAAAGCGAAUUACAAAGAUGAAUACAGUGACAAAUACAGUACAAUUUGAUAAAGUUAUUUGGACAUGGAAAUCCCCAUGGAGUACUGGCCGCAUAAACUGUGAACUUAGGCAAAGCACCACUGUCGCAAAUGUGACACUUUACCCAAAUUAUAGGCCUUGGGCAAAAAGCAAGUAACUUCAGAAUCCAAACUUGCAAAUAUGCUAACACACACAAGGGCUUUAAGUAGCUGUAGGAUCAAAGGCAAGAUUUUAAAACUCAGGUUGAUUGGGAUGUAAUUUGCAUAGUAAAAUUUACCCAUGUUAGUAUGAGUUUUGAUCAAUGCAUUCAGCCAUCAUGAUAUAGAACAGUUCCAUCAUCCAGAAAACUUCUCUGGUGUGCUUUUGUAAUCAACCCCUCCCCUCACUGCCAAGCCUUGGCAACCACUGGUUCAUAAUCUGUAUAAUUUGAAGACAGGAUUCUUAAUCUUUGUAAGUCUUGGUUUUCUGAUUCAUCAUAUGAGAAUACUAACACCAUCAUCUCUGUCAUAGAGUUGUUGAAACGAUUAAGUAAGAUCAUACAUGUAAAAUGCUUGGUACAUGCGUGGUGCAACAAGCACUAAAUAAGUCUUAGUGAUUUAUUAUUAUUAUUAAAAUGCUGAGUAUUGAGAAGUUGUAACCCAGAAGACACAAUAGCAUAAGUAAGAGUAAGUUCGAGUUUGUAAAACACAAUCUUCCAUGUAAUAUAGAAGCUUUUUUUUUUGAAAAACAGAGUCUCAUUCUGUCGCCCAGGCUGGAGUGUAGUGGCACAAUCUCAGCUCAGUGCAAGCUCCACCUCCCAGGUUCAAGCAAUUCUUCUGCCUCAGCUUCCCAAGUAGCUAGAAUUACAGGCAUGCACCACUAAACCC